Molecule: ribosomal RNA, 256 nt
Filed under: uncultured bacterium
Lineage: Bacteria
Description: partial 16S ribosomal RNA
Rfam family: Bacterial small subunit ribosomal RNA
Source: RNAcentral
UAAUACGUAGGGGGCAAGCGUUGUUCGGAAUUACUGGGCGUAAAGGGCGCGUAGGCGGCAUGGCAAGUCGGGAGUGAAAGCCCGGGGCUCAACCCCGGAACUGCUUUCGAAACUGCCAAGCUAGAGUACGGAAGGGGCAACUGGAAUUCCCAGUGUAGCGGUGAAAUGCGUAGAUAUUGGGAAGAACACCGGAGGCGAAGGCGGGUUGCUGGGCCGAUACUGACGCUGAGGCGCGAAAGCCAGGGGAGCAAACGGG